GGGGUCGAUCCGGCUUCGACGUGGGUUUGAACCAGAGCAGGGCAUGUCGAGCACCAGUAAGCUCGUAAAUCCACUGGAAAACCAUAAACGCCAACGACGAGCGUUUCGCUCUGGCCGCUUAAGCGGUGAGCCGCUGCACUGAUUUGUCUUUGGGUCAGGUAGGGUAAAACUUACAGCAGCGUCAUUUACAAAGAAUCGGGUCUGGCCAGGUCACUGGGCCAGCUCUUAAAUCCAAAGUGAAUCGCCAAGGCAGGGCCAGUCGGCCGGCAUGCGCCAAGGUUAAAACUUAAAAUAGUCCGACUAAACAUGUAGAACUGCCUGCAGAUGGCUUGCGGACGCGGGUUCAAUUCCCGCCGACUCCACCA
RNAcentral lists this transfer-messenger RNA (365 nucleotides) under Burkholderiales. Its description in RNAcentral is "Pusillimonas_B sp009857885 Standard tmRNA". It matches the Rfam family "transfer-messenger RNA". From Rfam's summary of the family: Bacterial tmRNA, also known as 10Sa RNA or SsrA, is named for its dual tRNA and mRNA-like properties. The record is from RNAcentral. Lineage: Bacteria; Pseudomonadati; Pseudomonadota; Betaproteobacteria. RNAcentral also lists the same sequence under 1 other name.